This 301-nucleotide long non-coding RNA is filed under the name Elaeis guineensis (African oil palm). RNAcentral's name for it is "long non-coding RNA (EGUI_LNC002674)". The record is from RNAcentral. Lineage: Eukaryota; Viridiplantae; Streptophyta; Magnoliopsida; Arecales; Arecaceae.
UUUCUUUUUUUUCCUCUUUCUUCUUCUCUUGGUGGUUUUGGAAAACAGGGUAUCGCCCCCUUAAUUCUUGAAAUUGUGGCACUUCCGGUCAGUGGUGACCAUGGGCGGUAGCAUCUAGGGCCAUGGCAAUGCAGUCGAGCUUCCAUGACCAAUGGUUGGCCGUAAAGAUGGCUGAAAAAAGAGAGAAAGAUUGGAAUAAUCAAAGAAAAUAGGGGAUUAGUUGAAAUGAAUAGGACCUUUUUCUUUCCAACCAAAAUCUAAUGAUAAUCGAUUGAAAAACAUAGUCCAAUGGCUCGAGAAA